GUAUAUCCUUUCAUAAUCAACACAUGCAAGACCCUCAGCACUGCAAUCGCUUUCCUGACUGGAGGCACCGUGCGAAUCAAUUGCGCUGAGCUGGACUUCGACAGGACGGUCGUCUGUGGUGAUCCCAUCUUCAUAAGCGUCCAGGCUACCACACCAUUUGCAGAGUGCUUGGGCAAGAACGGGCUCACGUGUGAUAACCAAGAUCCAGUUUAUGAGCCCCUUGCUCUUGGAUCGUUGAGAGUUCUUGCGUGCCUCAUCUAUUACGUUAUCACUACAUCUCCGGCUGAAGUAGCCGGACAGUUCGGAUGCGACUUCAUUACAAUUAUUUCCAGCAUAUUCGGCAGCCCUGUCUCCAAGGCUCUCACGCCCCUUCUAUGCACAGUUCAAAAUGCGCUAAUGCUCGAUUGCGCUGGCAUCACGUGCUAGAACGUUCUUGGUGGAUUACAGGCUAACAACGCAGCGCUUGUGCUACUUCUAUGAGAGCGCAUUUAUGAUGAAAACCGCCAUGAAAUAAACCGAGAGCAUGAAGUCUAAGUCUGCAUGCGCGUUCACUUCGUUCUAAACGUUUUUACUUUUAUACAUAAAAAUGUAUGCACAUUUCUUGAAAAACAUGUUGAGCACUCUUUGCAAUUGCCGCUGUAAACCUUCAAUAUCGUGGUUUAUGAGCACAUAUUCAGUAUUAUAACUAUAUAUUUAGAGUAAGUAUUAUAACUAAAAACUACUUCGUUAAAACUUUUGACGAAUAUUUUGUCCCCAAUGAGACAUUGUAUUCUAUAGACGUAAUGAAAGUGUUU
This is a long non-coding RNA of Dermacentor silvarum, 794 nucleotides long. RefSeq lists it as uncharacterized. Lineage: Eukaryota; Metazoa; Arthropoda; Arachnida; Ixodida; Ixodidae. The record is from RefSeq and is a predicted model, not a curated record. The transcript is spliced from 4 exons.